GAUUGGGACCAAAAUGCUGUGCUUUCAACUUGUCGAAUCAUCAUUUUCAGGUGCUGCAGCGAGGAAAUUUUUAGUCUACAGGAUCUCACCUUUGUAGAAAAGGUUUCUUCCUUCAGUGGUCCCAGAAGAAAUAAGCACCCUACAGGCUCAAGGAUCAGCUACCUGCUACAGCUCUGAGAAGGGAUGUGGAGGUCAGGUCAUGCAGUUGAAUUCCCCUUUUUCACUAGACUCUGCCAAGAAGCAUCAAGCUCAAAGCAGGAACAGGAGCUGUCAGAGAUCCUAUGUGCUACACUACACCUCUCCUUUGGUGCCCCACAAGAGAGAGUGCAUCAGCACAGUCCAGCAGACAUCAGACCUUGUGUCAGUUUUCUGAGUGACUAUUGCUGCAGGAGAUCCAGUGUCCGUUGGCUGUGUCUUGCUGGGUGUGCAGACUUCCUUUCCCCACCCUCAUUAGACUGA
Molecule: long non-coding RNA, 459 nt
Filed under: Phasianus colchicus (ring-necked pheasant)
Lineage: Eukaryota; Metazoa; Chordata; Aves; Galliformes; Phasianidae
Description: lncRNA (ENSPCLG00000019847.1)
Source: RNAcentral